This 291-nucleotide ribosomal RNA is filed under the name uncultured microorganism. RNAcentral's name for it is "partial 16S ribosomal RNA". It matches the Rfam family "Bacterial small subunit ribosomal RNA", at positions 505 to 796 of the family's 1533-position model. The record is from RNAcentral.
GUGCCAACCGCCCCGGGAAAACCGGAGGUGCAAGCGUUUAUCCGAAUUACUGGGGCGUAAGCGCACGCAGGCGGUUUGUUAGUCAGAUGUGAAAUCCCCGGGCUCAACCUGGGAACUGCAUCUGAUACUGGCAAGCUUGAGUCUCGUAGAGGGGGGUAGAAUUCCAGGUGUAGCGGUGAAAUGCGUAGAGAUCUGGAGGAAUACCGGUGGCGAAGGCGGCCCCCUGGACGAAGACUGACGCUCAGGUGCGAAAGCGUGGGGAGCAAACAGGAUUAGAUACCCUGGUAGUCC